This 465-nucleotide ribosomal RNA is filed under the name uncultured bacterium. RNAcentral's name for it is "partial 16S ribosomal RNA". It matches the Rfam family "Bacterial small subunit ribosomal RNA", at positions 338 to 795 of the family's 1533-position model. The record is from RNAcentral.
CCUACGGGAGGCAGCAGUAGGGAAUCUUCCACAAUGGGCGAAAGCCUGAUGGAGCAACGCCGCGUGGGUGAAGAAGGUCUUCGGAUCGUAAAACCCUGUUGUUAGAGAAGAAAGUGCGUGAGAGUAACUGUUCACGUUUCGACGGUAUCUAACCAGAAAGCCACGGCUAACUACGUGCCAGCAGCCGCGGUAAUACGUAGGUGGCAAGCGUUAUCCGGAGUUAUUGGGCGUAAAGGGAACGCAGGCGGUCUUUUAAGUCUGAUGUGAAAGCCUUCGGCUUAACCGGAGUAGUGCAUUGGAAGCUGGGAGACGUGAGUGCAGAAGAGGAGAGUGGAACUCCAUGUGUAGCGGUGAAAUGCGUAGAUAUAUGGAAGAACACCAGUGGCGAAAGCGGCUCUCUGGUCUGUAACUGACGCUGAGGUUCGAAAGCGUGGGUAGCAAACAGGAUUAGAUACCCCUGUAGUC